GCCAAGUUUGCACGCCUGCCGUUCGACGAUUGGAAGUAAAAGUCGUAACAAGGUUUCCGUAGGUGAACCUGCGGAAGGAUCAUUACCGAGUGUAGGGUUCCUAGCGAGCCCAACCUCCCACCCGUGUUUACUGUACCUUAGUUGCUUCGGCGGGCCCGCCAUUCGUGGCCGCCGGGGGCUCUCAGCCCCGGGCCCGCGCCCGCCGGAGACACCACGAACUCUGUCUGAUCUAGUGAAGUCUGAGUUGAUUGUAUCGCAAUCAGUUAAAACUUUCAACAAUGGAUCUCUUGGUUCCGGCAUCGAUGAAGAACGCAGCGAAAUGCGAUAACUAGUGUGAAUUGCAGAAUUCCGUGAAUCAUCGAGUCUUUGAACGCACAUUGCGCCCCCUGGUAUUCCGGGGGGCAUGCCUGUCCGAGCGUCAUUGCUGCCCAUCAAGCACGGCUUGUGUGUUGGGUCGUCGUCCCCUCUCCGGGGGGGACGGGCCCCAAAGGCAGCGGCGGCACCGCGUCCGAUCCUCGAGCGUAUGGGGCUUUGUCACCCGCUCUGUAGGCCCGGCCGGCGCUUGCCGAACGCAAAUCAAUCUUUUUCCAGGUUGACCUCGGAUCAGGUAGGGAUACCCGCUGAACUUAAGCAUAUCAAUAAGCGGAGGAAAUCUCUGGAAGAUCCGCGCG
Molecule: ribosomal RNA, 671 nt
Filed under: Aspergillus oryzae
Lineage: Eukaryota; Fungi; Ascomycota; Eurotiomycetes; Eurotiales; Aspergillaceae
Description: eukaryotic LSU rRNA
Rfam family: 5.8S ribosomal RNA (bases 268-421)
Source: RNAcentral